RNAcentral lists this ribosomal RNA (490 nucleotides) under uncultured bacterium. RNAcentral's name for it is "partial 16S ribosomal RNA". It matches the Rfam family "Bacterial small subunit ribosomal RNA", at positions 30 to 507 of the family's 1533-position model. The record is from RNAcentral.
AUUGAACGCUGGCGGCAGGCCUAACACAUGCAAGUCGAACGGGAACAGGAAGAAGCUUGCUUCUUUGCUGACGAGUGGCGGACGGGUGAGUAAUGUCUGGGAAACUGCCUGAUGGAGGGGGAUAACUACUGGAAACGGUAGCUAAUACCGCAUAACGUCGCAAGACCAAAGAGGGGGACCUUCGGGCCUCUUGCCAUCGGAUGUGCCCAGAUGGGAUUAGCUAGUAGGUGGGGUAACGGCUCACCUAGGCGACGAUCCCAAGCUGGUCUGAGAGGAUGACCAGCCACACGGGAACUGAGACACGGUCCCGACUCCUACGGGGGGCAGCAGUGGGGAAUAUUGCACAAUGGGCGCAUGCCUGAUGCAGCCAUGCCGCGUGUAUGCAGAAGGACUUCGGGUUGUAAAGUACUUUCAGCGGGGAGGAAGGGAGUAAAGUUAAUACCUUAGCUCAUUGACGUUACCCGCAGAAGAAGCACCGGCUAACUCCGUG